UUAAUCAAGAAACCAAGGAAGAGCAAGAAACUGAGGAAGAGAAAGAAGACCCAUAAUUUCCCCAGUAUUUCCAGAGAUAACCCUGGAUUUAUCUUUAAAGCAUUCAACAUCCAACCCCCCUCUUCUGUUUUCCCUUUGCUUAGCACCCAGCUCUCUGUGUUGAGUGUGAUGGGUGACCUUAUUAAAGAAAGACAUCAUCAGAAAAAGUUUCCUGACAGCGUCCAUGUUCUUAUGUUUUGGAGCAAAGAGGAAGAAUUGCAACUUGUCACUGGCACAGAAGAGGAAGAAAACAUGACACUCUUGAUUCCGGUGGUGAGUGAAAUUAUGUAGUGCCUGUUUACAGCAAUGUUCUAGGUCUGACGAAGCCAAAUUCUAGAAGAAGUCAAGGUUAUUCCUAGUUUCUCUCCAGCAACAGGAAUGUUCAUCUGAUACGAUAUGAUCUCUCUUUCCCAUCUACAAUGCACGAUGGAAUCCUCUUUAGCCGUAUUUUAAAGGUAUUAGUGAAAGCAUGAAGACAACUGGAAAAAUUGUGAAGAGAAAGUGCCAAACCAAAUGAAGUAACUUCUUUAGAAACAUUCUUAAGCAAAGCUUCAAGUGCAACUCAGGACAUCAUGUAGGGGAAAUAAGAUACUGGACAGAAGAUAAGUUUUCUUCUGAAACAUCAAAUGAGAUGGUGAAUCAGCAAGAUACAGAAAUGCACAAAUAUUUAAGGCAGGAGGUGCUGCAAAGUAGUCUCUGUGAAAAUUAUAUAGCUAUUUACUUUUAUACUUUCUGAAUGAAAAUAACUUAAGGUCUUUUAAUACAGAUGCACAAAUAAUUUUCUGGUAAUUGUAUUUACCUAUGAAUAGUAGUUUCAGAGCAUGUUCCAUUGUUAAAGAUAGGGAUCAAUUGCUGCUUACCAAGCAAGUUUUGAUUUUUGAAAUUUAUAUCUUAUUUAUUUAUAAAAUUCUGGCUUGAUUAGGAUGUAAAAGGAUUUUCUUUUUUCCCCCAGACAAAAAUGUCAGAAAAGAAAAAAUAAAAUACAGACUAUUUAUUUAUUUAUUCAUUUCAAAAGCAUAAGUAUUUUAUUUUCCUGAGAGGUAUUGCUUUGUGAGGUUCCAGUCAGAGGCAUGACUGAAGAGAGAUGAAAUUCUGGAUUGACUGAAGGAUGUUGAUAAAAUGCAACCAGUUCUAUGACAUGAGGUCCAAACAGCUUUGUAUCACUAGAUGCCUGAAACAAGUAAUAAAGACAAACUAAGAAAAGGAUAGGAAGUGCAUACAAAAUAAGAUUGACCAAAACCAAAGCAAGCUCCCUCUGGAUUACUGGAGUUUGUGUUGUUGUUGUUGUUGUUGUUGUUGUUUU
This 1342-nucleotide long non-coding RNA is filed under the name Cairina moschata (Muscovy duck). RNAcentral's name for it is "domestica (muscovy Duck (domestic type)) lncRNA (ENSCMMG00000015819.1)". Lineage: Eukaryota; Metazoa; Chordata; Aves; Anseriformes; Anatidae. The record is from RNAcentral.